This 72-nucleotide transfer RNA is filed under the name Phrynosoma platyrhinos (Desert horned lizard). RNAcentral's name for it is "tRNA-OTHER". Lineage: Eukaryota; Metazoa; Chordata; Lepidosauria; Squamata; Phrynosomatidae. The record is from RNAcentral.
GCCAAUAUGGUGUAGUGGUUUGAGUGUUGGACUAUGACUCUGGAGACCAGGGUUCAAAUCCCUGCUCGAACA